GUGGGUAUAGCUUAAGUGGUAGAGCGCAUGCUCAGCAUGCACAAGGUCCUGGGUUCAAUCCCCAGUACUUCCU
RNAcentral lists this transfer RNA (73 nucleotides) under Camelus bactrianus (Bactrian camel). It matches the Rfam family "tRNA". From Rfam's summary of the family: Transfer RNA (tRNA) molecules are approximately 80 nucleotides in length. Their secondary structure includes four short double-helical elements and three loops (D, anti-codon, and T loops). Further hydrogen bonds mediate the characteristic L-shaped molecular structure. tRNAs have two regions of fundamental functional importance: the anti-codon, which is responsible for specific mRNA codon recognition, and the 3' end, to which the tRNAs corresponding amino acid is attached (by aminoacyl-tRNA synthetases). tRNAs cope with the degeneracy of the genetic code in two manners: having more than one tRNA (with a specific anti-codon) for a particular amino acid; and 'wobble' base-pairing, i.e. permitting non-standard base-pairing at the 3rd anti-codon position. RNAcentral also lists the same sequence under 3 other names. Lineage: Eukaryota; Metazoa; Chordata; Mammalia; Artiodactyla; Camelidae. The record is from Rfam by way of RNAcentral.